GCUGGGUGUGGUUGUGCAUGCCCUUAAUCCCAGCAACUCAGGAGGCUGAGGCAGGAGGAUCACGAGUUCAAAGGCAGUCUCAGCGACUUAGCAAGGCCUUAAGCAAUUCAGUGAGACUAUGUCUCUA
RNAcentral lists this small RNA (127 nucleotides) under Marmota monax (woodchuck). The record is from RNAcentral. Lineage: Eukaryota; Metazoa; Chordata; Mammalia; Rodentia; Sciuridae.